GUGGUGCAUGCCUGUCGUCAGGUCGAAGUAAAGAGAUGUUGGGUUAAGUCCCGCAACCAUUCCCAACCCUUAUUAUCAGUUGCCAGCAUUAAGUUGGGCACUCUGGUGAGACUGCCGGGACAAACCGGAGGAAGGUGGGGAUGACGCAAAUCAUCAUGCCCCUUAUGACCUGGGCUACCACUGCUACAAUGGAUGGACAACAGUGCGAACUCGAGAGUAA
RNAcentral lists this ribosomal RNA (220 nucleotides) under bacterium L12(2011). RNAcentral's name for it is "partial 16S ribosomal RNA". It matches the Rfam family "Bacterial small subunit ribosomal RNA", at positions 1038 to 1266 of the family's 1533-position model. The record is from RNAcentral.